This 246-nucleotide ribosomal RNA is filed under the name uncultured bacterium. RNAcentral's name for it is "partial 16S ribosomal RNA". It matches the Rfam family "Bacterial small subunit ribosomal RNA", at positions 126 to 353 of the family's 1533-position model. The record is from RNAcentral.
CCUGCUUCAGGAUGGGGACAACAGACGGAAACGACUGCUAAUGCCGAAUAAGUUCCAAGAGCCGCAUGGCCCAUGGAAGAAAAGGUGGCCUCUACCUGUAAGCUAUCGCCUGAAGAGGGGUUUGCGUCUGAUUAGCUGGUUGGAGGGGUAACGGCCCACCAAGGCGACGAUCAAUAGCCGGUCUGAGAGGAUGAACGGCCACACUGGAACUGAGACACGGUCCAGACUCCUACGGGAGGCAGCAUG